This 468-nucleotide ribosomal RNA is filed under the name uncultured bacterium. Its description in RNAcentral is "bacterial SSU rRNA". It matches the Rfam family "Bacterial small subunit ribosomal RNA", at positions 33 to 507 of the family's 1533-position model. The record is from RNAcentral.
GAGACGACGCUGGCGGCGUGCUUAAUACAUGCAAGUCGAGCGAGACCCUUGAUGAAGCUUGCGAUUCAAGAGUUUAGCGGCGGACGGGUGAGUAACGCGUGGGCAACCUGCCCUCUAGUCUGGGAUAACAGAGCGAAAGUUCUGCUAACACCGGAUAUGCCUACAGUCAGGCAUCUGAAGGUAAGGAAAGGAUACGCUAGAGGAUGGGCCCGCGUCCCAUUAGCUAGUUGGUGAGGUAACGGCUCACCAAGGCGACGAUGGGUAGCCGACCUGAGAGGGUGACCGGCCACACUGGGACUGAGACACGGCCCAGACUCCUACGGGAGGCAGCAGUAGGGAAUUUUCCGCAAUGGGCGAAAGCCUGACGGAGCAACGCCGCGUGAAGGAAGAAGGUCUUCGGAUCGUAAACUUUUGUCUUCAGGGACGAUAAUGACGGUACCUGAGGAGGAAGCCACGGCUAACUACGUG